UCCGGUUUGUCACCGGCGGUCUCCCUAGAGUUCCCACCAUUACGUGCUGGCAACUAGGGACAAGGGUUGCGCUCGUUGCGGGACUUAACCCAACAUCUCACGACACGAGCUGACGACAGCCAUGCAGCACCUGUCUCACGGUUCCCGAAGGCACUCCUCUAUCUCUAAAGGAUUCCGUGGAUGUCAAGGCCAGGUAAGGUUCUUCGCGUUGCAUCGAAUUAAACCACAUACUCCACCGCUUGUGCGGGCCCCCGUCAAUUCCUUUGAGUUUCAGUCUUGCGACCGUACUCCCCAGGCGGCGAACUUAACGCGUUAGCUUCGAUACUGAGCUCCAAGUUGAGCCCAACAUCCAGUUCGCAUCGUUUAGGGCGUGGACUAC
RNAcentral lists this unclassified non-coding RNA (379 nucleotides) under uncultured Lysobacteraceae bacterium. RNAcentral describes it as "uncultured Xanthomonadaceae bacterium contains 16S-23S intergenic spacer region". The record is from RNAcentral. Lineage: Bacteria; Pseudomonadati; Pseudomonadota; Gammaproteobacteria; Lysobacterales; Lysobacteraceae.